CUUUGCACUUAGACUGUGCUGUUCUCCAGGCUGGGCAGGGGUUGGGGGAAUUCUGGGGCUGUGCAGAUUCCUUCUUGAUUCUUAUUUUUGCAUUUCCUCAUUAGAAGGUUUGGCUGAAGUUUUUUGGGGCCCGGGCUCCAGGUGAGUUCCUCUCCCACUUUCUCUCAGCCCUGGAUCCCCUGAUCAAUAUCUCUCAUCCCAAGAUGCCACUAACUGGGAGAGUGGGGAUAAAGAGGUGCCAUUUGUACAAUUCAUGCCUUCUCUCUGGGCUUCAGUUUCCCCACUGGUAAUGUGAAGGGGGGGUUGGAAUUGAAGACUUUGAAGAUCUAUUCUAGCUCAGAUGUCCUUGGAUUCUCACAUCAAGUAUAUGUGUGUGAUUGUGUGUGCACUUGUGGGCAGUUAGGUGUGUGUGAUUCUGUGAGUGACGGUGUGUGAUUGCAUGUGGGGGAUGGUGAGUAUGCAGCAUAAUAGGGUGCGUGAGUAUGUGCAUAUGGAUUAUGUGUGCAUGACUGUAUAUGUGUGUGAUUAUAUACGUGUCUGGAGAAGGGUGGUUGUGAAUGUGUAUAUGUUUGGGGAUGAGUGUGAGUAUGUGUAUAAUUGUGUGUGUGUGUAUAUAGGUUGUGAUAGUGGAUUUGUGUGCAGUUUGGGCUGUCUGAGUAGUUAUCGUGAGAGAUUGUGUGUGUGUGUGUGUUUAUGCAUGGGUGAUCUGGAGCGACUAUGUGUGUGUCAUUGUGUGUGGUGGAGGGCCGUGAAGCCUCUUUCCAGCCUGGUGGACCAGGACCUGGGCUGGGCACGACCGCUCCUCCUUGACCCACGCAGAUGGGUGCGGCCAGGACAGGCUGAGGUGGGGACCCCAUAGCUGCCCGUGAUGCCAGCAGGGCAGCAGAGCACAUCCCUCCAGUAAUCAGCUCCAGACGCUGCUGCGUCGCCUCCUUCUGACGGGAGGACGCUGGCAAGGCGUUCUGGCCCCAGCCAGGUCUCUUUGGGGGAAAAAAAUGGAGGGGGAGGAAAAAUCCCCCAAAGGCAGAUCUUUAUUGAAGCAUUUCGUGACACGCACACCAACUAAUUGAUUUCCUUAUUAGUAGCAGAGCUUUCUCCCGGCCUUUUCUCCUGCCUGAACUUAGAAAAGUGAAGAGUGGAGAGCCAGCUCAGUACAGACGCUGGGCCAAGUUUCUCCUCGGAUCCUCCCCUGGCCCCAGAGUCAGGGCGGAUAUGUUUGCUUUUCCAGGUCCAACUAUAGGUAGAGGGGUGUGACCACCCAUGGGAUCAGGUUUCAGAAGCCCCCACUAUUAUCGAGUCAUUCCAUUUACUUCGGGCUGUUCCUCAGGUCAAAAUGCACAUGUCGUGGGCAGGCGUUCUGAGUGCCUUAGUCGUUCACACACAGUUCCUGCUGCAGAACUCUUGGAACCUCAGUUUGCUCAUCUGUACAAGGGGCCGCUCCUGUUACUGACGUUACAGAGCGCUCGUGGGAAUUAAUUCAGGUCAGGUGUGUGAGUCCCGAAGCCUUUGUAAAAGUAAGUUGCUCCUGUUACGACGACGAUGACGCUUUCUUAUGAAGCACAUGUGUCAAUGGCGCAGUUUAAGGCCCGGGAGUUCGCAAGGCACAGAUGGGCCUCGUAUUUAGCAGAGAAGGCAGCCAGGUCCAGGUGAGGCCUCUCAGCAGAGCUUUUUCCCCCUCCCACCAGAAAGCCACAGCUGCCCCUCUGUCUGCGCCUGUGGCAGGUGGUGCCUCACUUCAUCUAAGG
This 1745-nucleotide long non-coding RNA is filed under the name Equus caballus (horse). RNAcentral describes it as "lncRNA (ENSECAG00000052682.1)". The record is from RNAcentral. Lineage: Eukaryota; Metazoa; Chordata; Mammalia; Perissodactyla; Equidae.